CAAGGAAAAUGAUGAAAACAUGAGCAAUCUUACAAAAUGAGCAACUCGUAUUAAUCUAGUGAUUACUUGAUCAAGUUAUCUUACAGUUGUAAAUCAGUGUAUUCAGCCAACUCUUCAUUUCUCGAACCUGUUUCAGUGAAACUUCAAUAUUGAAUUUUUUCGUUUCCUCGACAAAUUACUUACUCUCAAUUAUUUUAAAUAUUGUACUUUGAAUAGCCAAAUAACCAAAUUUACUGAUUGUUUCAAAUCUGGUCAACAUCGUCAAUUAAUAUGAAUUCAAAUAUGAGCAAAAUAACUAUGCCAUUUGGCUAUAUUUUAAUCAUCUUUUUGAUUGUUACUUCAUUCAAUGAUCAACCAUCAGCUCAAGUCAUGAGGAUCUGUGAAAAUGGUGAUUGCCUUCAAUUGGCUCGCCGAACGUCUUUGGCUGGAAAUGAGGAUCUUAAUGGUAUCUACAAUUUGAUGAGAUAUUUAAGGCAAAGUAAAGUCAUUGGAACCAACUUUAAUUCACCUUUUCUUGGUAAAAGAAGUAUGGCCAACACAGAGAAGGAAUGAUUACUAUUUACCAAUUUGAUUUCAAUGAAAAUAAUUGAUAGCUGAUUGGAACUGCAAACAAACAAUUCAACUGCGUUAUUUUGCUUGAACACACAAAUCACUAAUUUCCCAUUAAAGAUCACCAAUAAAUUGAUGUUAAACUAAUUCAAGAUGAUGUAAAAAAACCUUUAAUUGCUCCUGAUUAAAGUAGGACAAUGGUCACUUCGAUUAUUGUUUAUUUCACUUUACCUUACCAUGUAAAAUGUAUUACUUUUUGUUUGUAAACCUUAAACCCGUAACCCUAUUAACCUGAGAGCCAGAAAGAGCGGAUAACUUAGAUUCAAUUAUUUACCUGUAACUGUUUUUUAUUUAAAACAUUACCAAGUUAUGCAUCAUCUUUAAUUAUUUAUCAUUAAACCAGAAUACCUUUUUGGUUUCUCAAUGUAACUAUCAAUCGACUAUUUUUAAACAGCCGCUCUUUCAUUAUGAAUCAUCUUAAAUUUGUUUCCACUGAAUACAAUAAAUUCAAUCCAUAUUUAUGA
This is a long non-coding RNA of Tetranychus urticae (two-spotted spider mite), 1073 nucleotides long. RefSeq lists it as uncharacterized. Lineage: Eukaryota; Metazoa; Arthropoda; Arachnida; Trombidiformes; Tetranychidae. The record is from RefSeq and is a predicted model, not a curated record.